AACGCGAAGAACCUUACCUGGGCUCGAAGCGCAGUGGACCGGGGUAGAAAUAUCCCUUUCCGCAAGGACCGCUGCGGAGGUGCUGCAUGGCUGUCGUCAGCUCGUGUCGUGAGAUGUUGGGUUAAGUCCCGCAACGAGCGCAACCCUCAUCGUUUUGUUGCCAGCGGGUCAAGCCGGGCACUCGAACGAAACCGCCUCGGAUAACGGGGAGGAAGGUGGGGAUGACGUCAAGUCCUCAUGGCCUUUAUGUCCAGGGCUACACACGUGCUACAAUGGUCGGUACAAACCGUCGCAAACCCGCGAGGGGGAGCUAAUCGGAAAAAACUCUGCUCAGUUCGGAUUGCAGUCUGCAACUCGACUGCAUGAAGCCGGAAUCGCUAGUAAUGGCGUAUCAGAUCUGACGCCGUGAAUACGUUCCCGGGUCUUGUACACACGC
RNAcentral lists this ribosomal RNA (436 nucleotides) under uncultured Acidobacteriota bacterium. Its description in RNAcentral is "bacterial SSU rRNA". It matches the Rfam family "Bacterial small subunit ribosomal RNA", at positions 958 to 1393 of the family's 1533-position model. Lineage: Bacteria; Pseudomonadati; Acidobacteriota. The record is from RNAcentral.